This is a long non-coding RNA of Phyllopteryx taeniolatus (common seadragon), 2754 nucleotides long. RefSeq lists it as uncharacterized. The record is from RefSeq and is a predicted model, not a curated record. Lineage: Eukaryota; Metazoa; Chordata; Actinopteri; Syngnathiformes; Syngnathidae. The transcript has 3 exons.
AAUGCCUUUUUUUUUUCAAUAACAAAUAUACCCCAUAUAAUUCUGUUUUUGUAAUAAUGGUAAUAUAGUGGAACAGUCUGAAAAAGAUGUGCAUGCUUAACUGUUUUUGUUUCCCCCACUGUAUUACCUGUAUUACAAAAAUAUGUGAACUAUGUAUUGUAUGUACCCUACCCACAUAAUUUUACCUAUAACAUGCCAACAUAACAUUUGUUCAUAUAAGAAGACCACAGGGCGGAGAUAAAAAACUUUUGCGUGUGUGUGUGUACACCUCUUAAACCACACGUGUAAUUACAAUGCUAAUUGCGUUUGACGGCAAAACAAUUGCAUGCGAGCAAACGCCGUUUUAUUUUAUUGUAUUUAUAUGAGCUCCUUUGACGUGACGAUCCAGGAAAUUGCAUACAGUGAUAGGAAAAGUUAUUUCCCCUCUGGUCACAACCGACUGAACAGAUCAUUCUGCGCUCCAACUGUGUCAAAUGUCACACAUUCAAACCAGCCAAUCACAGGAGGCUUGAGAGCGGUUGGCUUUGCUCACACAAUGAUGGAAGAAGUCGUUGCAGGCCACGGGUCUCCUGAGUGCUGGACGAGGUGAAGAUGGAGCGAGAGAGAGCCAAGGAAGAGAUGGACGAGGAGAGAGUGGGACAGUGGCUUAAAUAUCACCUCAUUCGUGCUGCUCCUCCUCCUCACCCCCAAAAGUCCUUCACCCUGCCUGUCCCCUUUUGAUCCUCUUCCUAUCCACCCCUGACCGACAUAUCCUUGCAGGUGUCUUCUGGAAAAACACACUCAAAUGGCCUCCAUUUAUCCCUUCAUUAAUAAACUACAUCCACGUAUCCAUCUACAUGAUCAGUAUGUAUCUUCUUAGGUGUCCAUGUAGUAACCACUUACAGAAUCUACCCUAGCAAUGUACUGUCUAUCUCUCUGUAUAUCAAUUUGUCUAUGUAUCUUCUUAUGUAUCCAUGUAUCAAUCUAUGUAUCCCGGUACUCGUCUACAUACCUUUGUAUGUACAGUAUCGUAUGUACCUAUUUUCGUUGCUUUCUAUACAGCCAUGUAUUGGUCUAUAUACUGUAUCCACGCAUGUAUUAAUGUAGUUGUCUAUGUCUUUUUAUGUGUCAAUAUAGGUCUAAAUAUCCAUUUAUCAAUGCAUGUAUCCUUCUAUGUGUAUCAAUUCAUGUAUCACUCAUGUAUCAUGUAUUCAUCCAUGUAUCUUUCCUUGUAUCAAUGUAUGGAUCCAUGUCUCAUUUAUGCACGUAUGGGUAAUUUUUUUUUUCUAUGCAGCCAUUCAUCUUUCUACAACCUCGAUUCCAAUGAAGUUGUGACGUUGUGUUAAAGAUAAAUAAAAAAAAGAAUACAAUGAUUUGUAAAUCAUAUUCAACCUAUAUUUAAUUGAAUACACUACAAAGACAAGAUAUUUUAUGUUCAAACUGCUAAACUUUAUUGUUUUAGCAAAUAAUCAUUAACUUAGAAUCUUAUGGCUGCAACGCGUUCCAAAAAAGCUGGGACAGGAUCAUGUUUUUACACUGGGUUACAUCACCUUUUCUUUUAACAACAUACAAUAAACGUUAGGGAACUGAGGACACUAAUUGUUGAAGCUUUGUAGGUGGAAUUCUCUCCCAUUCUUGCUCGAUGUACAGCUUCAGCUGUUCAACAGUCCAGGGUCUCCGUUAUCGUAUUUUACGCUUCAUAAUGCGCCACACAUUGUCAAUGGGAGACAGGUCUGAACCGCAGGCAGGCCAGUCUAGUACCCGCACUCGUUUACCACGAAGCCACGCUGUUGUAACACAUGCAGAAUGUGGUUAGGCAUUGUCUUGCUGAAAUAAGCAGGGGCAUCCAUGAAAAAGACGUUGCUUGGAUGGCAGCAUAUGUUUCUCCAAAACCUGUAUGUAGCUUUCAGCAUUAAUGGUGGCUUCGCAAAUGUAUAAGUUACCCAUGCCAUUGGCACUAACACAGCCCCAUACCAUCACAGAUGCUGGCUUUUGAACUUUGCGUCCCUAACAGUCUUUCCCUCAUUGGCCCUGAGGAAAGGACGUCCACAAUUUCCCAAAACAAUUUGAAAUGUGGACUCAUCGGACCGCAGAACACUUUUCCACUUUGCAUCAGUCCAUCUUAGAUGAGCUCCGGCCCAGGUUAUCUAAAGUUUAAAGUUUAUCAGUUUGAACAUUAAAUAUCUUGUAUUUGUAGUAUCCAUCCAUCCAUUUUCUGAGCCGCUUCUCCUCACUAGGGUCGCGGGCGUGCUGGAGCCUAUCCCAGCUGUCAUCGGGCAGGAGGCGGGGUACACCCUGAACUGGUUGCCAGCCAAUCGCAGGGCACAUAGAAACAAACAACCAUUCACACUCACAGUCACAGUCACACCUACGGGCAAUUUAGAGUCUCCAAUUAAUGCAUGUUUUUGGGAUGUGGGAGGAAACCGGAGUGCCCGGAGAAAACCCACGCAGGCACGGGGAGAACAUGCAAACUCCACACAGGCUGGGCCGGGGAUUGAACCCAGGUCCUCAGAACUAUGAGGCUGACGCUCUAACCAGUCGGCCACCGUGCCGCUAUUUGUAGUAUAUUCAAUUAAAUAUAGGUUGAACAGGAUUUGCAAAUCAUUCUGUUUUUAUUUAUGUUUAAUACAACGUCCCAACUUCAUUGGAAUUGGGGAGGGGAUGUGCAUUGAUCCAUGUAGCUUUCAAUUACUGUAUAUACUACCCAUGUAUCUUUCUACUAUUUUCUUACAGUACUCGAGUGUGUAUCUAAUAUCUAUAGUAUGCAUCCCAUAA